AAGUCGUAACAAGGUUUCCGUAGGUAGCAGUUUUUGCCUACCCAACGAGUGCAGGGCAGUCCCGCUUUGCAGUCUCUUCGGAGGCGACACGCUCAACGUGCGGAAAAAUCCUCCUGGGAGGGAAAUCCGCACUCCUACCCGGAGUUCAGAGACUCAAUGAGUGUGGGCUCUUCUGGAGCUUGAGAUAGAGCCCGUCCCGGCAGGCAACUGCCGGCGGUCAACGGACCUGCGGAAGGAUCAUAAGAAUGACGUCUCGGAGCUAGAUUCUUCACCCUGUGUAUACCUAUCUGUGUUGCUUUGGCACGGCGCCAGGCGCCUGCCAGAGGUUAAACCCCUUGAAUUGCUUGCAGUCUGAGUACUAUCGUAAUAGUUAAA
Molecule: unclassified non-coding RNA, 375 nt
Filed under: plant metagenome
Description: partial contains small subunit ribosomal RNA and internal transcribed spacer 1
Source: RNAcentral